UCCGAAAUUAGAUUACAUUUUCAAGAACAAUACUGCAAUUACAAGUAGUAGUUAUCGACUACAAAACUACAAAGAAAAAACUCAUAAAAAACUAGGCACAAUACCUGGAAACGGCAAACCGCUAGACUAAAGGGAAACAGAGUAAAACUGCAAUAAACAACAACAACAACUGAAACAACAUUUAUCUAAGCAAAGCAAAAGUUCAGUUUGCCAUUCAUAGAGAAGACAGAUCGCCGCCGACUUCACUCGACUGAACCAUUGGAUUAAUUGCUGCACCAAAGUACAAAUAUGUGAAAAUUAAGGAAUUGGAAAGAGGAUUUCGUGAAUUCAAAUCAUGGUGAAGGAAUGUUUGAUUGCUUCCAUGAAUUCAAUCCAUGGUGAAGUAAUCAUGAAUUGCAUCCAUG
RNAcentral lists this long non-coding RNA (404 nucleotides) under Trifolium pratense (red clover). Its description in RNAcentral is "long non-coding RNA (TPRA_LNC007037)". The record is from RNAcentral. Lineage: Eukaryota; Viridiplantae; Streptophyta; Magnoliopsida; Fabales; Fabaceae.